This 445-nucleotide ribosomal RNA is filed under the name uncultured bacterium. RNAcentral's name for it is "bacterial SSU rRNA". It matches the Rfam family "Bacterial small subunit ribosomal RNA", at positions 355 to 823 of the family's 1533-position model. The record is from RNAcentral.
UGGGGAAUAUUGGACAAUGGGCGAAAGCCUGAUCCAGCAAUGCCGCGUGAGUGAUGAAGGCCUUAGGGUUGUAAAGCUCUUUUACCAGGGAUGAUAAUGACAGUACCUGGAGAAUAAGCUCCGGCUAACUCCGUGCCAGCAGCCGCGGUAAUACGUAGGGUGCAAGCGUUAAUCGGAAUUACUGGGCGUAAAGCGUGCGCAGGCGGUUAUGCAAGACAGAUGUGAAAUCCCCGGGCUCAACCUGGGAACUGCAUUUGUGACUGUAUAGCUAGAAUCACGGAGAGGUGAGUGGAAUUCCGAGUGUAGAGGUGAAAUUCGUAGAUAUUCGGAAGAACACCAGUGGCGAAGGCGGCUCACUGGACGUGUAUUGACGCUGAGGUACGAAAGCGUGGGUAGCGAACAGGAUUAGAUACCCCCGUAGUCCCUGAGCGGGCUGGCAAGGCGC